AUCAGAAAGGCUGGAAGGACAAGCAUAAUUCCUAUAUGGGGGAGCAGAGCUGUGUGUGACGUAAGACAUGGAGAAAUGUGGAUCUCGACAAUUAAUCAUGGUGUACUGCUGACAAAUAAGUGACAGUAAUUGAUGCAGCCCUUUUAGAGGCAAUCUGAAACUACUGCAACCUGGGUAAGUUCAUUCAUUUCUUUUUCUUUGCCAAGUUACUGGUGAAUAACAGUCCUAUGUAAUUGCCGCCCAGCAUUGCUUUAUAAGGUAACAGUGUCAGUGACAAGCCAGGAACUAAGACAAUCUAACAGUAUCUCUCUGGCUAAUUCUUGCCUGUGUUCUAUUUCUUCAAACCAUUGAUGUUUCCUAUUCAGUAUAUUGGCCACCAAAGGACUGAUGCACAGGCAUAGGAUGUGUAUUUGAAUAUCUAAAUGUGUUCCGUUGGGGUUUUCUGCUUGUCAGAUUUGCAUAGGUAUCUAGAUAAACAAUCUUGCCAGUCUAAUAGUCAAAAUAUUUUAAUUAUUUAUAUUCAUCUUACGCUCUUAGGCUGUAGUAUCAGGAUUUCCAAGAUGUCCAGCAGAUUCCAGCAGUAAAAUGUAUGCACUCUUACUAGAUCUAACUUUUGCACUCUAUGCUUUCUUUUAGGUGAACUUGUCCGAUUCAAAGACCGAAGCCAGCAGGUCUGAUGGCUGUAAGAAAAUGUCUAGCUGUUUUAAUAGGCAGUAAGCCAGACCAGUGCAACAUAUAUUCAAACCACUGUCUGCUGCUCAGGUCCUCUUUGCAGAGCAUUCCUUUUUUGUCCGCAGGGAGAGAAAUCAAGGCUUGCCCUGGAUUACUAGAACAAAGAGAUGUUUCUGCUGAAUUUUCUCUCUGGAAGAUGAACUUCUGUUCAACAGCCCAUCCUUCAGUAGAACAGAUACUGCUCUAUGGAGGUGAAAAACGGAUAAAUUUUGCAGAUUCUCUCAUCAGGAGGAGGAUUCUCAGUGUCUUUCAGGAGCUUUCGGCACAUAAGAGGGAAGAGAUCCCAUCCAGGUGCAUGAUAAAGACUCAAGUAUUCAGUUAUGCUGGAAGAAGGCUGAAGAUGACAUACCAGAAGCUAUGCAAGAGAGAUGAUACACAUUAUUUUAAUUUUAUGAGGCUGUAG
Molecule: long non-coding RNA, 1135 nt
Organism: Dromaius novaehollandiae (emu)
Lineage: Eukaryota; Metazoa; Chordata; Aves; Casuariiformes; Dromaiidae
Source: Ensembl